Molecule: ribosomal RNA, 200 nt
Filed under: uncultured bacterium
Lineage: Bacteria
Description: partial 16S ribosomal RNA
Rfam family: Bacterial small subunit ribosomal RNA
Source: RNAcentral
GAUGAACGCUAGCGGCAGGCUUAAUACAUGCAAGUCGAGGGGCAACAGGUCUGUAGCAAUACAGUUGCUGGCGACCGGCAUACGGGUGCGGAACACGUACGCAACCUUCCUUCAAAUGGGGGAUAGCCCACCGAAAGGUGGAUUAAUACCCCGUAACAUUUUCUGGUGGCAUCACUGGAUUAUUAUAGCUCCGGCGUUUG